GGGGGCGACAUGGCUUCGACGUGGAUUACAAACCCUGGGGAGCAUGCAGUGGAUGUGGUGACCACUUAAACACUAGUCACAAACAAUAGUCGCAAACGACGACUCUUACGCUCUCGCAGCUUAAUAACCUGUUGAGUGCUGUCUGACCGGACUCGUGCUUGUGCGACCGGAUUACAGGCAUCAUCUAACACAAGAUCGUACCAAAACUUGUCUAGGGUGGCGGUGCUAAAACCUAACUAGACUCACCUCCAGAACAGCCUGUCAAUCGGCGGGGUGGAGGUUAAAUAAAAGAUUGAAUAAGCAUGUAGCGCCUUCAGGCAGCGGAUUUGCGGACGGGGGUUCAAUUCCCCCCGCCUCCACCA
Molecule: transfer-messenger RNA, 362 nt
Filed under: Thiotrichaceae
Lineage: Bacteria; Pseudomonadati; Pseudomonadota; Gammaproteobacteria; Thiotrichales
Also listed under: 1 other name
Description: Thiolinea sp002747435 Standard tmRNA
Rfam family: transfer-messenger RNA
About the family: Bacterial tmRNA, also known as 10Sa RNA or SsrA, is named for its dual tRNA and mRNA-like properties. Its role is to liberate the mRNA from a stalled ribosome. To accomplish this part of the tmRNA is used as a reading frame that ends in a translation stop signal.
Source: RNAcentral